GUCCACGCCGUAAACGAUGAUCACUCGCUGUUAGCGAUACACAGUUAGCGGCUAAGCAAAAGCAUUAAGUGAUCCACCUGGGGAGUACGGCCGCAAGGCUGAAACUCAAAGGAAUUGACGGGGGCCCGCACAAGCGGAGGAACAUGUGGUUUAAUUCGAUGAUACGCGAGGAACCUUACCUGGGCUUAAAUGUAAAGUGCAUUCCCCCGAAAAGGGGAUUUCCUUCGGGACUCUUUGCAAGGUGCUGCAUGGUUGUCGU
This 259-nucleotide ribosomal RNA is filed under the name uncultured bacterium. RNAcentral's name for it is "partial 16S ribosomal RNA". It matches the Rfam family "Bacterial small subunit ribosomal RNA", at positions 793 to 1055 of the family's 1533-position model. The record is from RNAcentral.